RNAcentral lists this transfer RNA (75 nucleotides) under Rhodospirillales bacterium. RNAcentral describes it as "tRNA-Thr". It matches the Rfam family "tRNA". From Rfam's summary of the family: Transfer RNA (tRNA) molecules are approximately 80 nucleotides in length. Their secondary structure includes four short double-helical elements and three loops (D, anti-codon, and T loops). Lineage: Bacteria; Pseudomonadati; Pseudomonadota; Alphaproteobacteria; Rhodospirillales. The record is from RNAcentral.
GCCGAAGUAGCUCAGUGGCAGAGCAACUGAUUCGUAAUCAGUAGGUCCGGGGUUCAAAUCCCCGCUUCGGCACCA